Sapajus apella (tufted capuchin) is the source of this 1574-nucleotide RNA transcript. RefSeq lists it as uncharacterized. The record is from RefSeq and is a predicted model, not a curated record. Lineage: Eukaryota; Metazoa; Chordata; Mammalia; Primates; Cebidae. The transcript has 3 exons.
GCCCCCAAAUGCUCUACCUUUCUCGGUUGGUCGAAAGGCAGCUCAGCUCGCCUUCUGGCCUCCCAGGUGGGGUUUUACCCCAGGGUAGGGGGGCCAGGGUCGGCAGGCCGGGAGGGGAACCCCGGUACCGGAGCAGGCGGGGCGGCAGGAGGGCCCGCGCCAGCCACCCUGAAGUGGGCGUGGGCUGGAACUCGGCUCCCAGCCUUGCAGAAGCUGCAAUUUUACAACCUCACAACCGGCGUCCCCCAGCAAAGCUGCACCGCCAUUUCCCGAGCUUGGGAACUGCAGGCAAGCUGUCAGCUGACUGCACACCGGGGAGGGUGCCCGCCUUGCCCUCCUGUGGAUGCAGCUGUGACCCUCAUCCAGAACGCCCUGAGGCACACCUGGAUGGCAUCUGACCAAACGUCCGGGUGCUCCGGGUCCGAGGCCAGACCCCGCCCUUGACCAGCUCUGGUUCCAAGAUGAAUCCCAGGAUGGCGGCGUCUCAGAAGCUUCCGGAAGGCGGCCGAAGAUACGCACCGAGAACCGAGGGGCCCGAGGAUGAGGCCUCUCGUUCUGGCCUGAAGUUGAGGUCUCUUCUUCAGGGACUGGUCAGGGUCCCUGUCCUAGCAGAGAGGGGCCCCUGGGUUGGGGGCCUGCUAGUACCUGUGGGUGGGGGUGGGGGGCGAGUGAGGGACCCUGGUGUCCCCUGCGUGCUGCAGCCAGAUGCUUGCUACCACCACCUCCAGGGGUGCUCCUGGCAGCCUUACUUCUGGCUCAGUUCCCUGGGUCCAGCUGGGAGCAUGCAGGGGUCCCUGGCCAUGGCGGACAGUGGGGAGUGGCUGGGAGGCGGGGGCUGUCCUGUCCUCAGGAGUGAGUGCUGCAGGCCUGGGGCUGAGCCGGUCUGGACAGCAGACUGCGGAAGAGCCCCUGGUAGGAGCGAUGGGUGAGGUAGUCGCGGGUGACCAGCUCUGUCUCCCCAGUGAGAUCGACACUGUGUGUCUCCGUGUGGAGGGUGAUGGCUCAGGGUGUGGUCCCUGGUCCUGAACUUUCUGGGCUCAAGUCCGGGCACUGCCCCUUACAGGCUGAGUGCCCCGGGGCGUUUCUCCACUCUCUCUGUUUCCUUGUCUGUAGAAUGGGGUGGCUGCAGCUCCCACCCCACAGGGUCAUCACAAGGGAUUAAGCACAUUGGCACUGAAAGACCUUAGUGCAGCACCGGGCAUGGGUCAGUGCCAUCAGCAUCAUUUACAAAACUCCAAAAACAUCCUGCAUCUGAGGGCAGAUGAGGCGGUCCCCGCCGCCGCCCGGGGCUGCUGGGGCUCCUGGCCCCUGGCCACAUGGCUGCUUCCUUUCCUCUCCGUCUUCCUGGCACAGCCUGACGGUCCCUCUCUUCCUGCAGAGACGGGCAUUUCUUCUGGAACUUGUGUCUCAGCCCUGACUUACCCACUUCCAGUUUCCAUCCCUCAGGGAGUCAAAAGUGACCCCAUGAUUAUCUGAUCCGCAGAAAAGCAGAAGUGUGAACCUACUUUACUAUGAAAAAUAAGAAAAUUAAGGCCGGGUGCGGUGGCUCACGCCUGUCACCCCAGCACUGUGGG